Felis catus (domestic cat) is the source of this 73-nucleotide non-coding RNA. NCBI's taxonomy places the organism in Eukaryota, Metazoa, Chordata, Mammalia, Carnivora, Felidae. The record is from Rfam.
GCCUGGCUGGCUCAGUCGGUGGAGCAUGCAACUCUUGAUAUCAGGGUUGUGAGUUCAAGUCUCAUGUGGGGUG